AUAUGUUAGAUAUUUACAUAUGAUUUCCAUAUACAUAAAAUAUCACACACACACACACACACACACACACACACACCUGUCUUGAGUUACUCAGUGAUUGGCAUACCAUACACAAAUCCAUGGCAGAGAGAGAUGAAGUUUCUUAAAUAGGAAAUACAAGCCAUUCAUGUGAUUAGAGACAGUACAUCAUUUCUUUUUAACAUUAUAUAUUUAUAUCAUACAUUUGUACAUGUGUUCUCCUGAAGGGUAUGCACGAGUCUGUGCAAUUCUGAUAAGAUUUCAGGAAAUGUUAUCUGCCUGCUAGGCCUGUCACGUGUGGACCCUCCUCUGCAGCCAGGGAGCCCGUGAAGCUGUGGCCUCGUGUGUGGGGUUUAGACACCUGUGCGUCUACCCCGAGGAGCCUGGUGCAUUUGAGUCAGGGGUUUAGAUACCUGUGUGUUUGUCCCAAGGAGCCUGGUGUCCUCGAAUGGCGGGUUUAGACACCUGUGCAUUUGCCGAGAGGAGCCGAAUCUCUUCACAGUUGAGAAGUAGUGAUGUGGGGAGGAGGAAAAGAGGGAGAAAACACAGCCCUGGGGGAAGGGAUGGGGCAGGAAAUGGGCGUGGGGCCUUGUGAGUCUCUGGUUUUCUGGGAUCUUCAUGAGUGUCUGGGGUCUCUAUGAGUCUCUGGAAUCUCUGUGGUUUUCCACAGAGUUUCCACGUGAGUUUCUCGGGGGGGGGGCGGUCUGUGUGGUUUUCUGGGGUCUCUGUUAGUCUCUGGAGUCUGACUCUGGUGGAGGUAAGAAUGGAACGGAGGUGGCCGUGAGCCCGGUGGCCUGCCUGCCCUAUGUGCUUCUUACCUCCUGGCUGCCUGAGCGUCAUCUGGGGGUAUUUGGAGACUUCCAGGAGCAGGACUCUUGUCGGGUUCAUGUGGACCCACAAUGCUGAAAACUUUGAGGACAUCUGGAUUGAGGUUCAGCGUCGUACAGGCUUGGUUAACGGUUAUGACUGGCAGAUGUCUGCUGUAUUCGGAGUGUGCAAGUGGUUGACUGUUUAUUGGAAAUUAUUUCAGUGGCCGGGGAGGUCCCAGCACCCACGUUGGGGCUGCAGCCACCACUGCUGAGUUGGCCGGAGUUGACCUUUGGUCAGGAUCCAGUGAUGGACUUGGCUGUGGGAAUCGUCUAAAAGUGAACCCUCUCGGUGCCCGGCAUCAAGUUGCAUCACAGGAACACAAAGUACUUGCUUGUGUGACCCAGGCUUGCUCAGUCGACCGGCUCGUCCUCAUGCAUGAAUCACCACCAAGAGAUGUGUGCACAUUUCCUUCAUGCCAUGGCCAAGGGAACCAUGGGGGUACCACGUGUUAAGAUAAGGGUUGCUGGUGAUGGACAAUUCAGGAGCAGGAACGGCAUCCAGCCAUGGCCACGGUGGAGCCUCAGAGAAGUGGCUGGAGAGGGGCAUGCACUGAAUAUUGGAAAGAGAGUUGAUGCCAGCCAUAUAAAGAGAACCUGGGAGAGGGUUCCAGCCACAGGAGCAGCAUGGCCAUGUUACGGCACUGAAUAGUGGAGGGAGGGUUGACACCAGCCACGUAAACAGGGAGAGAGAUCCAGCCACACAACCAACACAGUAUGUUAUGAAAAACCUUUGGUGACGGGAAGUCAGGGCAUAUGUGCGCCUGAGCAGAUGCCUUAGGGGUGCGUGUGUAAAACCACGAAUCUUCAGAGGGACUUGAACUCAUGACGUAGCUGAUCCUGAGCAAGAUCAAUAAUGGAGACCCGAAUGAUUUCUCACCUGACUGAGGCAUUUGCCACCUCUGUCUCAGUCAGUCAGGGCUGUCACUCACAGAGUUGGGGGUCCCGGGAGUCACCAUGAAGGGUUGGGGUCCUGGGUCCCUGGUCCUGGGUCGCAGGGCCUCCACCUCCUUCCCCAGUUUGCUCCUGUGCCAGAGGCAUGUCAGCGAGGCAGCCCCGGGUACAGCUCUUACCUACUGUUAGGUUAAUUACCCUUAAUUAGGUUGUGUCCCUCAGCAGAGAGUGGGAAGUGGAGUAUGCUUCCUCCAUCUGCAGGGCCUUGGAAGAGCGCCCCAACCUCCUCCUUAGCAGAGCAGAAAAUCUCUGCCAUCUCAUCCUCAACUGCCUCAGCUCACCCAGGAGCAGAGGAGGAGCAGUCACGGGCAGCGGCCGUGCAGGUGCCACACCUGGUGGUCCACCUGAGAACCAGGGCAAAAGCCAGAGAAGUGCAGUCUCACGACAUGAGGAGAACAUUGAAGAAGGCUCGCGGGUGCCCGAGCCCCAGUGUCCAGUGAAGAAGGCCCACGGGUGCCCUGAGCCCCGGUGUCCAGUGAAGAAGGCCCACGGGUGCCUAAGACCCAGCAUCCAGUGAAGAAGGCCCAUGGGUGCGCGAGCCCCAGUGUCCAGUGAAGAAGGCCCAUGGGUGCCCUGAGCCCAGCGUCCAGUGAAGAAGGCCCAUGGGUGCCCUGAGCCCAGCGUCCAGUGAAGAAGGCCCACGGGUGCCUGAGCCCAGCAUCCAGUGAAGAAGGCCCAUGGGUGCCUGAGCCCCAGUGUCCAGUGAAGAAGGCCCACGGGUGCUGAGCCCAUCUCCAAGCUCAUACUUCACCCUGAGAUUGAUUUACCUUCUUAGCUCCACCUUUUCAUAUGUGAUCCAUUCUUCAUAGAGCAAGUUUUAUCCCUUUAAAAAUGACAACCAUGGUGCCUGAGAAAGAAGCGUGUUCUGAAAGUGAAGACUCCACCACAACUGUUAUUUAGGGUUGUGGAACUGUAGGGUUCCGUGUGCGGGGUUAGCCUUGUUCUCUCUGAAGGGGAGGAUAGUGCUGGGAACAGGCUCCCCACAUUCCCACCAGCACCUCAUCUUCUCACCAGCUCCCCACAUUCCCACCAGCACCCCACAUUCUCACCAGCUCCCCACAUUCUCACCAGCACCCCACAUUCUCACCAGCACCCCACAUUCUCACCAGCUCCCCACAUUCUCACCAGCACCCCUCAUUCUCACCGGCACCCCUCAUUCUCACCGGCACCCCCAUUCUCACCAGUACCCCCAUUCCCACCAGCACCCCACAUUCUCACCGGCUCCCCACAUUCUCACCGGCAUCCCGCAUUCUCACCGGCUGCCCGCAUUCUCACCAGCUUCCUGCAUUCCCACCAGCACCCCACAUUCUCACCAGCUCCCCACAUUCCCACCGGCUCCCCACAUUCUCACUGGCUUCCCACAUUCUCACCAGCACCCCUUAUUCUCACUGGCACCCCACAUUCUCACCUCCCCAAAUUCUCACCAGCUCCCCACAUUCUCAUUGGCUCCCCACAUUCUCACCAGCACUCCACAUUUUCCCCAGCUCCUCACAUUCUCACUGGUACCCCACAUUCUUAGCAGCACCUGUGACUGUUGUCCUUUGAUGAGAACAGUCAUGCUGAUGUGGAUUAGGUCUGCAUUUCUCCGAUGGUCGGUGAUGCAGGGAGGGGUUUCCAUGCUGAGCGGGGUUUGUGCCCGGGAUGCCUGCCUGAGUGACAAGGCAUUUCCUAUUGAAGGGAGCCGUGCUCAGAGGUUGUGGCUGCUUGUCACUUACUUGUGGGUGAUACCUGUGAUGAAUUGUGUUCAAAGGGAAAUUAUAAAACAAGAAUAGAGCCAUUGGGACUCUAGCGGGUAAGACUAAGGGUUCUAGGAGCAGGACUGCUUCAGCGUCUCAAACAUACUUUCUUCUGAGAAGAGUUAACAAAAGAGCAGAGCAAGAGAAUCUGUUAAACAGCAGCUGGGUCGUGCGUCUAGAAGGCAGCAGCAGGUGCACUGGAAUGGACUUCCCAUUCCAACAAAAUGUGCCUUUUUGUCAGUUGCUCAGCUGCGGGCAGUGUCACACACGCAUCAAAAUAAAAACAAGUGGGGGCAUUUAAAACAGCGGGAGGUGAAGUCAGCAGAGGCUUUGCUGCAUAGGGGUCCUGGGCCUCUGCUCCAAGACCUGGGUUUCUCAUCUGUAGAACAGAGACAAUAGCUCACAGAGGCUGGAACGAGGGUGCCUGAGUGCUUUCUAGGCAGUCAUCACUGUCCCGGGGCAGGAGGCUGGGCUGGCACACAACCCUUGACAUUGCUGAGCCUGCCUGGGCCUCAGAUCCACUCACAUGGACGUCAGUGACAGCUUCCAGAGGCAUCCAAAGGAAGCUUCUGUGCACCGGGCCAAUCCUUGUCCCUUGUGGGACACACUUAGCCUGAGCAAAGGCUGCAGUUCUUCAGAGGGAAAGACGGUGCCCCUUAUGGGAAGCUCACAGGCCGUUAUUUUCCAGUGGAAUUCCAGGGUGGAAAUGUGGAGGCAGCUGACUGGAGAAUCAUAGGAGAAGGUGCUCUCCAUGUAACAUGCAUCUGGAAGGGUUUCCUGAGGCUUCAGUUCCUCUGUUCUUCCCUUCUCUGUCCCAGCAGAGCUGUUUUUAUAAAGCACACAUAGCAUUUGCCAUUAUUCAUUUUAAUUGUGCCAGGGACACCAUUCUCCGUCCCCCUCUGUGAGUGACGGCACCUCCAUGCCGUGUUUCCACCCACAUGCUGUGUUUGGCAGAGGCCUUGCUGACCCCGAACCGCCCUAAGCUGUCAAAUGUCUGUAGCUGGGUGGCGGUGGGGAACAUGAGAGGCAGACAGACUAGGGGUGCGCACAGAAUGUAACCCUGGGUCGUGGGCUCAGUUCUCCCUCCUAAAGUCCUUUAAGCAAAGGCGUGGCUGAGCUCAAGUUUCCAGAGGGGCAGAACACCAACUUGUGUGUUUUCUUUUUACUGUUUUUUUUUUUUUUU
Callithrix jacchus (white-tufted-ear marmoset) is the source of this 4757-nucleotide non-coding RNA. The record is from RefSeq and is a predicted model, not a curated record. Lineage: Eukaryota; Metazoa; Chordata; Mammalia; Primates; Cebidae.